UUAUGUCUUCACUCUUUAGUAUACCCAUUAAAAUCUUCGUGAUUUGAAUUUCAAUUGAUAUGUGUUAGUUGGAUAUAUUAAUCUCAUUUUUGAGUUUUAAUCUAAUUUCAGACCAUAGAUGCACCCCGGAUAUAUUAAUCUCAUUAUAUUUGAUUUGAAUGUUUCUUUAGACACGCCCUUUGAAGCCGUUUCAAUUAUUUAUUUAUUUAUUUAUUUCUACUAAGAAUUAGAAAAUGAGUAAUAGAGAUGUUUUUGUCAUACAUAUAUACACACUUUUUCAUUGACAUUUGCGUAUCUGCUACUUUCUUGGGUUCUGGCUAUUUUAUGCGACUGGGCAGAGUUGGGUUCUGGAAAUGCUGUUUGACAGAUAGAAAGAACUGAUACUACUACACAUUUUAAUAUCAUGACUUCAAGAUCGUUUAGAGGUUCUGAAUCACUGCAAGGACAGUCAAUUCCUAUGUCAGUGAAAUUUACAAGGAGGACUUCAUCAGGCCGAUACGUUGACUACUCCAGAGAGUCGAAUGAUCUCGAUAGUGAUAUUGGCAGCUGUGAAGAAAUUGAAAUUUGCAAGGAGGACUUCAUCAGGCCGAUUCAUUGACUAAACUUUCUCCAACUUAUUUCCUUUGCCUAACUUGGUGUCAAGAAAUUGAAAGUUGCAGGAUAAAAUCUGUGAGGGGGCUUUUGCAUUCAUCACGGAGUAGUUUGGUCUACUAUAGCCUUUGAUUCUGUGAUCUAGAGUAAUCCAUUGUUGUACAUUUUGAGUUUGAAUUCCUUAUUUUUCUUUUCUUGAUUCUCUGAGGUGAUCUAGAUUAAUAUAUUCUGAUUUUUUAAUAUAAUGUUUGAUUUUUCAUCUUGAAGACUCAAAUUUGGCCUCU
Molecule: non-coding RNA, 875 nt
Organism: Camellia sinensis
Lineage: Eukaryota; Viridiplantae; Streptophyta; Magnoliopsida; Ericales; Theaceae
Source: RefSeq, a predicted model, not a curated record